RNAcentral lists this ribosomal RNA (434 nucleotides) under uncultured bacterium. Its description in RNAcentral is "SSU rRNA". It matches the Rfam family "Bacterial small subunit ribosomal RNA", at positions 26 to 518 of the family's 1533-position model. The record is from RNAcentral.
AGAAUGAACGCUAGCGAUAUGCUUAACACAUGCAAGUUGAACGUUGUUUUCGAAUCAGAAUGAGAACAAAGUAGCGAACGGGUGCGUAACACGUGGGAAUCUGCCGAACAGUUUGGGCCAAAUCCCGAAUGAAUAAAAGCUAAAAAGCGCUGUUUGAUGAGCCCACGUAGUAUUAGGUAGUUGGUUAGGUAAAAGCUGACCAAGCCUACGAUGCUUAGCUGGUCUUUUCGGAUGAUCAGCCACACUGGGACUGAGACACGGCCCAGACUCCUACGGGAGGCAGCAGUGGGGAAUCUUGGACAAUGGGCGAAAGCCUGAUCCGGCAAUAUGGCGUGAGUGAAGAAGGGCAACGCAGCUUGUAAAGCUCUUUCAUCGAGUGUGCGAUUGUGACAAGACUCGAAUAAGAGCCCCGCUAACUCCGCGCCAGCAGCCGC